UUUGAAAUCAUGAAUUUAAUUUCACAUCAAGAAUUUUAUUUAUAAAUUCAAAUUCAACAAAAAUUUUUAAAUUCAUAUUUAUAAAUUUCAACCAACCUAAUUAGACAAAAAAAAAAUUAAUACAGAGGAUAAAUAAGACACUGGCUAGCAUACUAGCGUUUUUUUUUUUAUAAAAUGUACAGAAACUUUCUAAACUUUAGCACUUUUAAAAAUAGGCAUCUCAAUUUUCAAUUAUGACAAUUAUAUGUAAACUUUAUCAAAUAGUUCAAGGCCAAUUAGCAUAAAAAAUCCACAAGUUUUAAGUUUUUACAAAACUGGGCCACCUUUUUCAAUUUUGCAGAUUCGGUCUGAAUUUUCAGCGAACUGAUCAAAAGACCCUUAUACCUUUUUCUCUCUCCUCUUUUUUUCUUUUUUCUUUUUUUUCCCUCUCCGAAGAAGGCGGCAAAGGUGGAGGCGGAAACAGCCCGCCUCACCUAUGCCCCUCACGCCCUCGUCCUCGCCCACGCACGCCCCUCCCUCCUCGCUUCCGACCCCGUCGAAGCCGCGCCGCGACCUUUUUUUAUUUUUUAUUUUUCUCUCCGACCCUCCUCGACCCGCAGUUCCCACUGCCGCCGCUGGUGACAAAGAGGAAGUGCUUCUCGGGGUCCAGAAGCACAUCGGCGAGAGAGGGGGAGAAAAAUAGUUACACUCCGACGAGAAAAAGAAAAUAAGAAUAAUAAAAAAUAAAAAAAUUUCUACAGAAAAGAUAAAAAAUCAUAGAAGAAUGAAGAAGAAAUGAAAUUGCACUGUUAAAAAAAAAUUACACUGUUUUAAAAAAAAUUUGCACUGUUUUAGAUAAAAUUGCACUCUUUGAAAUAGAAAUUACACUAUUUUGAAAUAAAGAGUUACACUCUUUAGACGAAUGUUGCACUAUUUGGAUGAAAUUUACACCAUUUCUCCUUUCCCACAUCUUUCUCCUUCUUCCUCCUCCUUACACGAUUUCUCUUUCCACCCUAGUU
Molecule: long non-coding RNA, 998 nt
Filed under: Ananas comosus (pineapple)
Lineage: Eukaryota; Viridiplantae; Streptophyta; Magnoliopsida; Poales; Bromeliaceae
Description: long non-coding RNA (ACOM_LNC027809)
Source: RNAcentral